AUGAGUGUGUCCUAGAGAAAAUCUUGAAGUAGCAGUGUCAGAAGUGUGUGCAGGGUUGUGUUUCCAUGACAGUGACUGUCCGAAUUAUCAGAAAUGCUGCAGCAAUGGAAGUGGACAUCAGUGUAUGGAUCCAUAUGCAGAAAAGCCAGGAAUGUGUCCAAAAAACCUUGGAGAAGGACUGUGUGUUGAGGUGUUCUCAUGAAAGUAACUGAAAAUCAGAAAUGCUGCAGCAAUGGAUGUGGACAUCAGUUUAUGGAUCUAUCUGAAGUGAAGCCUGACUUAUGUCUCAAACAAAAUGUGUGCUGAUAACUCUUCCCAUGAUGAUCGGUAUCCUACCAGACAGAAGCGUUCCCCAACCACC
This is a long non-coding RNA of Onychostoma macrolepis, 361 nucleotides long. RefSeq lists it as uncharacterized. The transcript is spliced from 3 exons. The record is from RefSeq and is a predicted model, not a curated record. NCBI's taxonomy places the organism in Eukaryota, Metazoa, Chordata, Actinopteri, Cypriniformes, Cyprinidae.